This 450-nucleotide ribosomal RNA is filed under the name uncultured bacterium. RNAcentral describes it as "partial 16S ribosomal RNA". It matches the Rfam family "Bacterial small subunit ribosomal RNA", at positions 354 to 796 of the family's 1533-position model. The record is from RNAcentral.
GUGGGGAAUAUUCCGCAAUGGACGAAAGUCUGACGGAGCAACGCCGCGUGAGUGAUGAAGGUUUUCGGACUGUAAAGCUCUGUUGUUUAGGACGAAAGUGCCUGUUGCGAAUAGUUACAGGUAUUGACGGUACUGAACGAGGAAGCCACGGCUAACUACGUGCCAGCAGCCGCGGUAAUACGUAGGUGGCAAGCGUUGUCCGGAAUUAUUGGGCGGAAAGAGCAUGUAGGCGGGAAUCUAAGUCUGUUGUGAAAAUGCGGGGCUCAACCCCGUAUUGCGAUGGAAACUGGGUUUCUUGAGUGCAGGAGAGGAAAGGGGAAUUCCCAGUGUAGCGGUGAAAUGCGUAGAUAUUGGGAGGAACACCAGUGGCGAAGGCGCCUUUCUGGACUGUGUCUGACGCUGAGAUGCGAAAGCCAGGGUAGCGAACGGGAUUAGAAACCCUGGUAGUCC